UUUGUCUCAAAGAUUAAGCCAUGCAUGUCUCAGUGCAAGCCGUAAUUAAGGCGAUACCGCGAAUGGCUCAAUAUAUCAGUUUUGGUUCCUUAGAUCUUACUCAGUUACUUGGAUAACUGUGGCAAUUCUAGAGCUAAUACAUGCAAUCAGAACUCUGACCAGUGAUGGAAUGAGUGCUUUUAUUAGAUCAAAACCAAUCGGCGGCGGUCGCAAGGCCAAAGUCGUUCUUUUUGAUGAAUCUGGAUAACUUUUGCCGAUCGCACGGUCCAGCACCGGCGACGCAUCUUUCAAAUGUCUGCCCUAUCAACUUUCGACAAGUCUGGUGCCAGCAGCCGCGGUAAUUCCAGCUCCAAUAGCGUAUACUAAAUUGGUGGCGGUUAAAAAGCACGUAGUUGCAUUUGUGCGCCGCGCUGUCGGUGCACCGCUUUCGCGGUGAUACUGACACGUCUGCGGAGCAUAUCGUCGGUGAG
Molecule: ribosomal RNA, 470 nt
Filed under: Opostega salaciella
Lineage: Eukaryota; Metazoa; Arthropoda; Insecta; Lepidoptera; Opostegidae
Description: bacterial SSU rRNA
Rfam family: Eukaryotic small subunit ribosomal RNA
Source: RNAcentral